UACGUAGAGUGCAAGCGUUAAUCGGAAUUACUGGGCGUAAAGCGUGCGCAGGCGGCUAUGCAAGACAGAUGUGAAAUCCCCGGGCUCAACCUGGGAACUGCAUUUGUGACUGCAUGGCUAGAGUACGGUAGAGGGGUAUGGAAUUCCGCGUGUAGCAGUGAAAUGCGUAGAUAUGCGGAGGAACACCGAUGGCGAAGGCAAUCCCCUGGACCUGUACUGACGCUCAUGCACGAAAGCGUGGGGAGCAAACAGG
This 253-nucleotide ribosomal RNA is filed under the name uncultured bacterium. RNAcentral describes it as "partial 16S ribosomal RNA". It matches the Rfam family "Bacterial small subunit ribosomal RNA", at positions 524 to 776 of the family's 1533-position model. The record is from RNAcentral.